This 331-nucleotide ribosomal RNA is filed under the name uncultured bacterium. RNAcentral describes it as "bacterial SSU rRNA". It matches the Rfam family "Bacterial small subunit ribosomal RNA", at positions 568 to 898 of the family's 1533-position model. The record is from RNAcentral.
CGCGUAGGCGGGCGAUCAAGUCCGGGGUGAAAUCUUUCGGCUUAACCGGAAAAGUGCCUUGGAUACUGAUUGUCUUGAGGGAGGUAGGGGGAUGUGGAACUUCCGGUGGAGCGGUGAAAUGCGUUGAUAUCGGAAGGAACGCCGGUGGCGAAAGCGACGUCCUGGACCUCUUCUGACGCUGAGGCGCGAAAGCUAGGGGAGCGAACGGGAUUAGAUACCCCGGUAGUCCUAGCCCUAAACGAUGGGUACUAGGUAGUGGACUUAACAUGGGUUCACUGCCGAAGCAAAAGUGUUAAGUACCCCGCCUGGGGAGUAUGGUCGCAAGGCUGAA